This 440-nucleotide ribosomal RNA is filed under the name uncultured bacterium. Its description in RNAcentral is "partial 16S ribosomal RNA". It matches the Rfam family "Bacterial small subunit ribosomal RNA", at positions 338 to 795 of the family's 1533-position model. The record is from RNAcentral.
CCUACGGGGCGCAGCAGUGGGGAAUAUUGCACAAUGGGGGAAACCCUGAUGCAGCGACGCCGCGUGAGUGAAGAAGUAUCUCGGUACGUAAAGCUCUAUCAGCGGGGAAGAAAAUGACGGUACCUGACUAAGAAGCCCCGGCUAACUACGUGCCAGCAGCCGCGGUAAUACGUAGGGGGCAAGCGUUAUCCGGAUUUACUGGGUGUAAAGGGAGCGUAGACGGCAGCACAAGUCUGGAGUGAAAUCCCGGGGCUUAACCCCGGAACUGCGUUGGAUACUGGGCGGCUGGAGUGCCGGAGGGGUAAGCGGAAUUCCUAGUGUAGCGGUGAAAUGCGUAGAUAUUAGGAGGAACACCGGUGGCGUAGGCGGCUUACUGGACUGUAACUGACGUUGAGGCUCGAAAGCGGGGGGAGCAAACGGGAUUAGGUACCCGGGUAGUC